AUGUAAAUAAAAUGACUUGGUUUUAUUUGUUUCAUUUACCUCUUUCUUUUUGUGUUUUGGUUUAAAUCGCUAUUACCUAAAAUAGAUACUACAUACACAUAUAUAUAUAUAAUUACAUACCUGUAUCCGAUAUAAGAAAUAGAAGAAGAGUACCCCCUUAUUAUGUCAUUCGAUUUGACUCGAUAUAAUAUGAUAUGAUAUGAUUUGUUAAUUAGUAUAUAUAUAUAUAUAUAUAUAUAUAUUUCUAUAUAUUUGUAUAUAUUUGUAUAUGUAUAUAUACAUACGCGUGCGCAUAGAUGUAACUCAAGAGUUGUGUAAACACAUAAAUAACACUGAAGAAGUUUUAAUAUAAAAAAAAAUAUAGAUAUUCACUUUUGUUUAGGAAGGAUGUAACUGACAUAUGUUUGAGGUAAUUAUAUUUACAUUGGUGUUAUAAAAAGUAUAGUUUACAUGUUAUAGAUUUUAUAAAGAUGAAACUAUAUCAAUUUAUAUUUUUUUAGCACCUACAUAAUUAGUUAUUAAUAUUUAUUUAUUUUAUUUUUAUUAUAUUUUAAAUUUUUUUAAAAUGAUUAAAAAAUGUUUAUUUAUUUUAGUAAUAUCUUUAAUUAGUAUAGCUUUAGUACUAUAUGAAAAAAUAAAACAUGAAAAUUCAAACAUAUAUGAUAGUGAUAAUAAGAAUUAUGGUAAUGUUACAAAUAAUCACUUUAAUAAUGAAUUAAUUAAUAGUUUAAAUUAUAGAAUAAAUAAAAGCCUAUACAAUGUUUUAAAUAAUAAUAUAUCUUUACGUUUGUUACCAUACAACAAACCAAGUAGUAGCAAUUUUAAUUUAUACGACAAAUUAAAUAAUAGCGAAAAUAAAUUAAAUAAAUGUAAUGCAUCACAAAAUGAAACAUGUCCUUUUAAUGAAUAUAAUGUAACAGACAAAUCUCGGUAUUAUAAUAUUAUAAAAUAUAGUAAUAUACAUAUAAAUAAUGUUAAACAAAAAAUUAAAGACGCUUAUAAGUUUUUUUUUUCAAAUAUUAAGACUCAAAACAAAACAGAACAGAUUAUUUCCUUAUUUAUUGAACUUAUUAAAAAUUUUAAAUUAUUUUUAAAAAUUGUAUAUUCAUCAAGUUAUAAUAUGUCCUAUGCUUAUGGGGUAGUUUUAAUUUCUUUAUUAAAAAUUUUCUUUUUAUGGUAUAUUAUUAUUGGACCAUAUUUACAAUGGACAUAUUUUAAAUUAAAAAAAUAUUAUAUAAAUUUAAAUAAAAACACACAAGAUAAUAUACUUAUUAUUAUAUUAAUUAUAAUUUUAUUUUACUGUUUAGUAUUAUUAGGUGUAAUUAAAUAUAUAUCAAAUAAACUUUCAAAAAUUUAUAAAUAUAUUUCUAAUAAAUUAUUAAAAAUUCAUUCCUUUUUGUUUAAUAUAUUACCAUAUAUUAUUAGUCUUUUAUUUUAUUCAAGUUUAGUCAAAAUUUUACCCAUACAUUUUCUGUCAUUUUUUAUACACUUUAUUUUUUUCCCAUUACCUUCACUAUAUUCCAUUGUUAUAAUAAUUAAAUAUAUUUACCUCCCAAAAACUAAUAUACAAUUUAAAAAUAAUAUUAAAAAAUUAAUAAGUUUUAAAACACAAAAUAGUAUACAUGAACAAUCUUUGUUGUUAAAUCAGGAAGACAAUGUAGAAACAAAAAUAUAUGAACAAAUACAGGACAAUUCAUCAGAUAAUAAUGAAAAAAUAAAUAAAGAUUUAGAACUUAUUGAUAAUUUUAAAAAUAAAAAUUACCUAAAUAAUGAUAAUGAUACAUUAAAAAAUUUAAGCGAAGCGAUUGUAACAAAUGAUGAAAAUAACACUGAUAUAUCUGGUGAAACAAGAAAAGAAAAAAAUGGUGUAGAAAAUGAGAACGUUGAAAAGGAUGAAAUUAAAAAAGGAGAUAGUAAAAAUAAAGAAAGU
Molecule: long non-coding RNA, 1930 nt
Organism: Piliocolobus tephrosceles (Ugandan red Colobus)
Lineage: Eukaryota; Metazoa; Chordata; Mammalia; Primates; Cercopithecidae
Source: Ensembl